Molecule: ribosomal RNA, 468 nt
Filed under: uncultured bacterium
Lineage: Bacteria
Description: partial 16S ribosomal RNA
Rfam family: Bacterial small subunit ribosomal RNA
Source: RNAcentral
GACGAACGCUGGCGGCGUGCUUAACACAUGCAAGUCGAACGGAAAGGCCCUGCUUUUGUGGGGUGCUCGAGUGGCGAACGGGUGAGUAACACGUGAGUAACCUGCCCUUGACUUUGGGAUAACUUCAGGAAACUGGGGCUAAUACCGGAUAGGAGCUCCUGCUGCAUGGUGGGGGUUGGAAAGUUUCGGCGGUUGGGGAUGGACUCGCGGCUUAUCAGCUUGUUGGUGGGGUAGUGGCUUACCAAGGCUUUGACGGGUAGCCGGCCUGAGAGGGUGACCGGCCACAUUGGGACUGAGAGACGGACCAGACUCCUACGGGAGGCAGCAGGGGGGAAUAUUGCAGAAUGGGCGGAAGCCUGAUGCAGCAACGCCGCGUGCGGGAUGACGGCCUUCGGGUUGUAAACCGCUUUCGCCUGUGACGAAGCGUGAGUGACGGUAAUGGGUAAAGAAGCACCGGCUAACUACGUG